AUUGAACGCUGGCGGAAUGCUUUACACAUGCAAGUCGAGCGGCAGCACGGACUUCGGUCUGGUGGCGAGUGGCGAACGGGUGAGUAAUGUAUCGGAACGUGCCCAGUCGUGGGGGAUAACGUAGUGAAAAUUACGCUAAUACCGCAUACGAUCUAUGGAUGAAAGCGGGGGAUCGCAAGACCACGCGCGAUUGGAGCGGCCGAUAUCAGAUUAGGUAGUUGUUGGGGUAAAGGACCACCAAGCCAACGAUCUGUAGCUGGUCUGAGAGGACGACCAGCCACACUGGAAAUGAGACACGGUCCAGAAUCCUACGGGAGGCAGCAGUGGGGAAUUUUGGACAAUGGGCGAAAGCCUGAUCCAGCCAUUCCGCGUGCAGGAUGAAGGCCCUCGGGUUGUAAACUGCUUUUGUACAGAACGAAAAGGUUUCUACUAAUACUAGGAGCUCAUGACGGUACUGUAAGAAUAAGCACCGGCUAACUACGUGCCAGCCGCCGCAGUAA
RNAcentral lists this ribosomal RNA (500 nucleotides) under uncultured bacterium. Its description in RNAcentral is "partial 16S ribosomal RNA". It matches the Rfam family "Bacterial small subunit ribosomal RNA", at positions 30 to 523 of the family's 1533-position model. The record is from RNAcentral.